CCUACGGGAGGCAGCAGUGGGGAAUAUUGGACAAUGGGGGCAAUCCUGAUCCAGCCAUGCCGCGUGUGUGAAGAAGGCCCUCGGGUUGUAAAGCACUUUCAGUGAGGAAGAACGCCUGGUGGUUAAUACCCAUCAGGAAAGACAUCACUCACAGAAGAAGCACCGGCUAACUCCGUGCCAGCAGCCGCGGUAAUACGGAGGGUGCGAGCGUUAAUCGGAAUUACUGGGCGUAAAGCGCGCGUAGGUGGCUUGAUAAGCCGGUUGUGAAAGCCCCGGGCUCAACCUGGGAACGGCAUCCGGAACUGUCAAGCUAGAGUGCAGGAGAGGAAGGUAGAAUUCCCGGUGUAGCGGUGAAAUGCGUAGAGAUCGGGAGGAAUACCAGUGGCGAAGGCGGCCUUCUGGACUGACACUGACACUGAGGUGCGAAAGCGUGGGUAGCAAACAGGAUUAGAUACCCGAGUAGUC
RNAcentral lists this ribosomal RNA (465 nucleotides) under Vreelandella stevensii. Its description in RNAcentral is "partial 16S ribosomal RNA". It matches the Rfam family "Bacterial small subunit ribosomal RNA", at positions 338 to 795 of the family's 1533-position model. Lineage: Bacteria; Pseudomonadati; Pseudomonadota; Gammaproteobacteria; Oceanospirillales; Halomonadaceae. The record is from RNAcentral.